RNAcentral lists this ribosomal RNA (647 nucleotides) under uncultured Bacteroides sp. RNAcentral's name for it is "bacterial SSU rRNA". It matches the Rfam family "Bacterial small subunit ribosomal RNA", at positions 73 to 715 of the family's 1533-position model. Lineage: Bacteria; Pseudomonadati; Bacteroidota; Bacteroidia; Bacteroidales; Bacteroidaceae. The record is from RNAcentral.
UCUUAGCUUGCUAAGGCCGAUGGCGACCGGCGCACGGGUGAGUAACACGUAUCCCACUUGACGUCUACUCUUGGACAGCCUUCUGAAAGGAAGAUUCUUCAAGAUGGCAUCAUGAGUCCGCAUGUUCACAUGAUUAAAGGUAUUCCGGUAGACGAUGGGGAUGCGUUCCACUAGAUAGUAGGCGGGGUAACGGCCCACCUAGUCUUCGAUGGAUAGGGGUUCUGAGAGGAAGGUCCCCCACAUUGGAACUGAGACACGGUCCAAACUCCUACGGGAGGCAGCAGUGAGGAAUAUUGGUCAAUGGGCGAGAGCCUGAACCAGCCAAGUAGCGUGAAGGAUGACUGCCCUAUGGGUUGUAAACUUCUUUUAUAAAGGAAUAAAGUCGGGUAUGGAUACCCGUUUGCAUGUACUUUAUGAAUAAGGAUCGGCUAACUCCGUGCCAGCAGCCGCGGUAAUACGGAGGAUCCGAGCGUUAUCCGGAUUUAUUGGGUUUAAAGGGAGCGUAGAUGGAUGUUUAAGUCAGUUGUGAAAGUUUGCGGCUCAACCGUAAAAUUGCAGUUGAUACUGGAUAUCUUGAGUGCAGUUGAGGCAGGCGGAAUUCGUGGUGUAGCGGUGAAAUGCUUAGAUAUCACGAAGAACUCCGAUUG